Molecule: long non-coding RNA, 601 nt
Organism: Nematostella vectensis (starlet sea anemone)
Lineage: Eukaryota; Metazoa; Cnidaria; Anthozoa; Actiniaria; Edwardsiidae
Exons: 2
Source: RefSeq, a predicted model, not a curated record
UACUUGUAGUAAUUAUGGCGUUGGAUAAAAGGGAUUUAAAAAUACGAGUGCCUCAAAGGACCACCAUAAUCUUUUUUUGACUGUGGGUAAAUUGGUCUGUAAGUACGCAAAACCUAUAAAACCAGCUAGACUAGACAAGUUUUCCACAGUUUAGACAAGUCUGAGUCACGAUGGUCGGGUAUAAGCGGCUAGCGAUCUGCACUCUAUUGCUUAUGAUGUUAGUAGAAGGGAGCCUGCAGUUCAAUGGAGCUAUGUGCAGCGGUUGUAGGGACCCGCCAUGCUGCAAAAGGAGAGAGAUUCUCAGAAAGCGGACGCUGGCAAGGCACGAAAGGCGCGACUUCUGCGCGAUUGCGCGCUCACUGAAAUGCGAGGAUGACGCAUCCAUCGACAGUGAUCAGUAACUGCCAGCCAUCAAGAGGUGAAACUGUCAUCGGGGAACAAGAGCUUUGAGCGAUCUACUCGACACAGAUCUUUGACGGAAGGGUGGCAACGCCGGGAGAUUAUCCUUAAAUUAAUCUAUGUUAUGUUUUGAGAUGGCUGUAAAUUACUGAUGUGAAUGCAGUCAUGUUGGAUUUAAAAAUAAAACCUGUUAUUUUCUCUA